UACGUAGGGCGCAAGCGUUAUCCGGAAUUAUUGGGCGUAAAGAGCUCGUAGGCGGCUUGUCGCGUCGACCGUGAAAACUUGGGGCUCAACCCCAAGCCUGCGGUCGAUACGGGCAGGCUCGAGUUCGGUAGGGGAGACUGGAAUUCCUGGUGUAGCGGUGAAAUGCGCAGAUAUCAGGAGGAACACCGAUGGCGAAGGCAGGUCUCUGGGCCGAUACUGACGUGAGGAGCGAAAGCGUGGGGAGCGAACAGG
Molecule: ribosomal RNA, 252 nt
Filed under: uncultured bacterium
Lineage: Bacteria
Description: partial 16S ribosomal RNA
Rfam family: Bacterial small subunit ribosomal RNA
Source: RNAcentral